AUACGUAGGGGGCGAGCGUUGUCCGGAAUGAUUGGGCGUAAAGGGCGCGUAGGCGGCCUGUUAAGUCUGGAGUGAAAGUCCUGUUUUCAAGAUGGGAAUUGCUUUGGAUACUGAUGGGCUUGAGUGCAGGAGAGGUUAUCGGAAUUCCCGGUGUAGCGGUGAAAUGCGUAGAGUUCGGGAGGAACACCAGUGGCGAAGGCGGGUAACUGGACUGCAACUGACGCUGAGGCGCGAAAGUGUGGGGAGCAAACAGGAUUAGAUACCCUGGUAGUCCACACUGUAAACGAUGAAUGCUAGGUGUAAGAGGUAUCGACCCCUUUUGUGCCGGAGUUAACACAAUAAGCAUUCCGCCUGGGGAGUACGGCCGCAAGGUUGAAACUCAAAUGAAUUGGCGGGG
Molecule: ribosomal RNA, 397 nt
Filed under: uncultured bacterium
Lineage: Bacteria
Description: partial 16S ribosomal RNA
Rfam family: Bacterial small subunit ribosomal RNA
Source: RNAcentral